GACGAACGCUGGCGGCGUGCUUAACACAUGCAAGUCGAACGGAAAGGCCCUGCUUUUGUGGGGUGCUCGAGUGGCGAACGGGUGAGUAACACGUGAGUAACCUGCCCUUGACUUUGGGAUAACUUCAGGAAACUGGGGCUAAUACCGGAUAGGAGCUCCUGCUGCAUGGUGGGGGUUGGAAAGUUUCGGCGGUUGGGGAUGGACUCGCGGCUUAUCAGCUUGUUGGUGGGGUAGUGGCUUACCAAGGCUUUGACGGGUAGCCGGCAUGAGAGGGUGAACGGCCACCUUGGGACUGCGGUACGGCGCAGACUGCAACGGGAGGCAGCAGUGGAGAACAUUGCACAGUGGGCGGAAGCCUGAUGCAGCAACGCCGCGUGCGGGAUGACGGCCUUCGGGUUGUAAACCGCUUUCGCCUGUGACGAAGCGUGAGUGACGGUAAUGGGUAAAGAAGCACCGGCUAACUACGUG
This 468-nucleotide ribosomal RNA is filed under the name uncultured bacterium. RNAcentral describes it as "partial 16S ribosomal RNA". It matches the Rfam family "Bacterial small subunit ribosomal RNA", at positions 28 to 507 of the family's 1533-position model. The record is from RNAcentral.